This 504-nucleotide ribosomal RNA is filed under the name uncultured bacterium. Its description in RNAcentral is "bacterial SSU rRNA". It matches the Rfam family "Bacterial small subunit ribosomal RNA", at positions 25 to 518 of the family's 1533-position model. The record is from RNAcentral.
CAGGAUGAACGCUAGCUACAGGCUUAACACAUGCAAGUCGAGGGGCAUCAGAUCGAAAGCUUGCUUUGAUGCUGGCGACCGGCGCACGGGUGAGUAACGCGUAUCCAACCUUCCCUAUAGUAGAGAAUAGCCCGGCGAAAGUCGGAUUAAUGCUCUAUGUUGUAUUUAGAAGACAUCUGAAGAAUACCGAAGGUUUACCGCUAUAGGAUGGGGAUGCGUCUGAUUAGGUAGUAGGCGGGGUAACGGCCCACCUAGCCGACGAUCAGUAGGGGUUCUGAGAGGAAGGUCCCCCACAUUGGAACUGAGACACGGUCCAAACUCCUACGGGAGGCAGCAGUGAGGAAUAUUGGUCAAUGGACGGAAGUCUGAACCAGCCAAGUAAGCGUGCAGGAUGACGGCCCUAUGGGUUGUAAACUGCUUUUAUAUAGGGAUAAAGUCGGGGACGUGUCCCCGUUUGUAGGUACUAUAUGAAUAAGGACCGGCUAAUUCCGUGCCAGCCGCCGC